Molecule: ribosomal RNA, 253 nt
Filed under: uncultured bacterium
Lineage: Bacteria
Description: partial 16S ribosomal RNA
Rfam family: Bacterial small subunit ribosomal RNA
Source: RNAcentral
UACGUAGGCAGCAAACGUUGUUCGGAGUUACUGGGCGUAAAGAGUGCGUAGGCGGUUUGCCAAGUCCGGUGUGAAAUCUCCUGGCUUAACUGGGAGGGUGCGCCGGAUACUGGCAGGCUAGAGUGUGGGAGAGGAAAGCAGAAUUCCUGGUGUAGCGGUGAAAUGCGUAGAUAUCAGGAGGAAUACCUGUGGUGAAGACGGCUUUCUGGACCACAACUGACGCUGAGGCACGAAAGCGUGGGGAGCAAACAGG